CCUACGGGAGGCAGCAGUGGGGAAUUUUGGACAAUGGGCGCAAGCCUGAUCCAGCAAUGCCGCGUGCAGGAUGAAGGCCUUCGGGUUGUAAACUGCUUUUGUACGGAACGAAACGGCUCUUUCUAAUAAAGAGGGCUAAUGACGGUACCGUAAGAAUAAGCACCGGCUAACUACGUGCCAGCAGCCGCGGUAAUACGUAGGGUGCGAGCGUUAAUCGGAAUUACUGGGCGUAAAGCGUGCGCAGGCGGUUAUAUAAGACAGAUGUGAAAUCCCCGGGCUCAACCUGGGACCUGCAUUUGUGACUGUAUAGCUAGAGUACGGUAGAGGGGGAUGGAAUUCCGCGUGUAGCAGUGAAAUGCGUAGAUAUGCGGAGGAACACCGAUGGCGAAGGCAAUCCCCUGGACCUGUACUGACGCUCAUGCACGAAAGCGUGGGGAGCAAACAGGAUUAGAUACCCUGGUAGUCCACGCCCUAAACGAUGUCAACUGGUUGUUGGGUCUUCACUGACUCAGUAACGAAGCUAACGCGUGAAGUUGACCGCCGUCGGGAGGUACGGCCGCGAGGUUAGUAAACGUUAAAGGUAAAGUUAGUACGGCGUGAGACGUGACCGAACGGACGACGACGAGGGAGGAGG
RNAcentral lists this ribosomal RNA (634 nucleotides) under uncultured bacterium. RNAcentral's name for it is "bacterial SSU rRNA". The stretch from base 1 to 542 matches the Rfam family "Bacterial small subunit ribosomal RNA", at positions 338 to 873 of the family's 1533-position model. The record is from RNAcentral.